GUUGUAUGGUUAAGUGACUAAGCGUACACGGUGGAUGCCUUGGCAGUCAGAGGCGAUGAAGGACGUAUUAACUUGCGAUAAGCCCAGAUUAGGUAGUAAAAACCUGUGAGUCUGGGAUUUCCGAAUGGGGAAACCCACUUACAUAAGUAAGUAUCACUGCGUGAAUACAUAGCGCAGUGAGGCGAACCGGGGGAACUGAAACAUCUAAGUACCCCGAGGAAAAGAAAUCAACCGAGAUUCCGAAAGUAGCGGCGAGCGAAAUUGGACUAGCCCUUAAGCUUUUAAUGAGACAGGUGAAGGCUCUGGAAAGUGCCGCGAUACAGGGUGAUAGCCCCGUAACCGACAUCUCAUCAUCAGUGAAAUCGAGUAGGGCGGGACACGUGUUAUCCUGUCUGAAUAUGGGGGGACCAUCCUCCAAGGCUAAAUACUACUGACUGACCGAUAGUGAACCAGUACCGUGAGGGAAAGGCGAAAAGAACCCCUGUGAGGGGAGUGAAAUAGAACCUGAAACCGUGUACGUACAAGCAGUAGGAGCACCUUCGUGGUGUGACUGCGUACCUUUUGUAUAAUGGGUCAGCGACUUAUAUUCAGUAGCAAGGUUAACCAUCUAGGGGAGCCGUAGAGAAAUCGAGUCUUAACUGGGCGUCGAGUUGCUGGAUAUAGACCCGAAACCAGGUGAUCUAGCCAUGGGCAGGUUGAAGGUUGAGUAACAUCAACUGGAGGACCGAACCGACUAAUGUUGAAAAAUUAGCGGAUGACUUGUGGCUAGGGGUGAAAGGCCAAUCAAACCUGGAGAUAGCUGGUUCUCCCCGAAAUCUAUUUAGGUAGAGCCUCGGACGAAUACUACUGGGGGUAGAGCACUGUUAAGGCUAGGGGGUCAUCCCGACUUACCAACCCUUUGCAAACUCCGAAUACCAGUAAGUACUAUCCGGGAGACACACGGCGGGUGCUAACGUCCGUCGUGGAGAGGGAAACAACCCAGACCGCCAGCUAAGGUCCCAAAUUAUAGCUAAGUGGGAAACGAUGUGGGAAGGCUUAGACAGCUAGGAUGUUGGCUUAGAAGCAGCCAUCAUUUAAAGAAAGCGUAAUAGCUCACUAGUCGAGUCGGCCUGCGCGGAAGAUGUAACGGGGCUAAGCUAUAAACCGAAGCUGCGGCAAUGACUUUAGUCAUUGGGUAGGGGAGCGUUCUGUAAGCCGUUGAAGGUGUGUUGUAAAGCAUGCUGGAGGUAUCAGAAGUGCGAAUGCUGACAUGAGUAACGAUAAAGGGGGUGAAAAACCUCCUCGCCGGAAGACCAAGGGUUCCUGUCCAACGUUAAUCGGGGCAGGGUAAGUCGACCCCUAAGGCGAGGCCGAAAGGCGUAGUCGAUGGGAAACGGGUUAAUAUUCCCGUACUUCUUACAAUUGCGAUGGGGGGACGGAGAAGGCUAGGUGGGCCUGGCGACGGUUGUCCAGGUUCAAGUGCGUAGGCUUGAGAGUUAGGUAAAUCCGGCUCUC
This 1494-nucleotide ribosomal RNA is filed under the name Vibrio vulnificus. RNAcentral's name for it is "partial 23S ribosomal RNA". It matches the Rfam family "Bacterial large subunit ribosomal RNA", at positions 1 to 1550 of the family's 2925-position model. Lineage: Bacteria; Pseudomonadati; Pseudomonadota; Gammaproteobacteria; Vibrionales; Vibrionaceae. The record is from RNAcentral.